This 225-nucleotide ribosomal RNA is filed under the name Klebsiella pneumoniae. RNAcentral describes it as "partial 23S ribosomal RNA". It matches the Rfam family "Bacterial large subunit ribosomal RNA", at positions 2718 to 2925 of the family's 2925-position model. The record is from RNAcentral. Lineage: Bacteria; Pseudomonadati; Pseudomonadota; Gammaproteobacteria; Enterobacterales; Enterobacteriaceae.
GGGUUGUCAUGCCAAUGGCACUGCCCGGUAGCUAAAUGCGGAAGAGAUAAGUGCUGAAAGCAUCUAAGCACGAAACUUGCCCCGAGAUGAGUUCUCCCUGAGACUUUAAGUCUCCUGAAGGAACGUUGAAGACGACGACGUUGAUAGGCCGGGUGUGUAAGCGCAGCGAUGCGUUGAGCUAACCGGUACUAAUGAAUCGUGAGGCUUAACCUUACAACGCCGAAG